UCGUGCUAGGCGGAGGGUUCGAGGUCCUCUAUAAACCGCAAAUCCUCGUAAGGCGGGCUGAAUCCCCAUCAGAGGGCGAAGUUGGUGACACCGGCUGGUUCCUGAAGCGUUGAUAGAUGGGUUCCACGCGGCGAAAGUCCGUGAACCCCGCCAGGAUCGGAAGAUAGCAACGGUAAACGGGAACGUUCGGGUGACGUGGAAGAGCCUGUCUGGAGCUUAAGGUUCGAGACGCGGGUCAUUGAUUUUGUUCGAGGGUGGGUGCACGG
Molecule: signal recognition particle RNA, 266 nt
Filed under: Candidatus Rifleibacteriota bacterium
Lineage: Bacteria; Candidatus Rifleibacteriota
Description: signal recognition particle sRNA large type
Rfam family: Bacterial large signal recognition particle RNA
About the family: The signal recognition particle (SRP) is a universally conserved ribonucleoprotein involved in the co-translational targeting of proteins to membranes. Archaeal SRP consists of a 7S RNA and homologues of the eukaryotic SRP19 and SRP54 proteins. In most bacteria, the SRP consists of a 4.5S RNA and the Ffh protein (a homologue of the eukaryotic SRP54 protein).
Source: RNAcentral